This is a long non-coding RNA of Papaver somniferum (opium poppy), 432 nucleotides long. RefSeq lists it as uncharacterized. NCBI's taxonomy places the organism in Eukaryota, Viridiplantae, Streptophyta, Magnoliopsida, Ranunculales, Papaveraceae. The transcript has 3 exons. The record is from RefSeq and is a predicted model, not a curated record.
GCUAUGACAAGAGCACCUGUUGUUAGGUUUGGAACUGCAAAAAGAGCUUCUGAGCUCAAAUUCUUUAUGGAAGAUCUUAACAAUUUCGAUACCUUGGCUCACGUUUUUAACAAAUCUAGCAGAUUUGGAGGACUCCAAAAAGUUCAGUGUGCUAUUGCUGGCAAGAAUCUAUACAUGAGAUUCAGCUGCAGCACAGGGAUGCAAUGGGGAUGAACAUGGUUUCUAAAGGUGUUCAGAACGUUUUGGAUUUUCUUCAAGCUGAUUUUCCCGACAUGGAUGUUAUCGGAAUAUCUGGGAACUUUUGUUCCGAUAAGAAACCAGCUGCUGUAAACUGGAUUGAAGGACGUGGUAAGUCGGUUGUCUGCGAGGCAAUUAUCAAGGAUGAAGUAGUGAGGAAUGUGUUGAAGACUACAGUUCCAGUUUUGGUAGAGC